AUACAAAGGGGACCUGAAACCAGGAAGCCCUAGGAUUCGAUGAGGGGAGAACAAUCUGGCAGUGAGCUGACUUCUACCAAAGCAACCUGGAUCAGGAAGCUGGUGGAGGAGAGCCUGGAACCCCUUUGGUGAGUGUUCGUAGCUGAAAUUUCUCUGACACAAAUCUUUUGGUUUGUGCUCCUUGUGGUUGGGCUCUCUUGGGGGAACUCUGAGAUGCCAACAAUGGUCACUCCUGAACUCCAUCCACCAACACCAGCUGGUCUCCCUGGUUCACCAUCUACUUUCCUCACAUAUUAUCAGACUCCUCAAAUGGCAAUAGGACAAGACUAAAUGAGGGCAGCAAAGGAUGAGGAGUAGUACCCGCAAAAUUGUCUGAUUUGUGGAAAAAGGAAAAAAAUACACUCAGGCAUAAACCGGAGGAAAAGACACUAAAUGUUGGUACAGGUUAUGAUGGGGGUUUCAUUUGCAACCAAUUUUUAUUUUCGCCGUUGCACGCAUCUGUGUUUUCUUAAAAUGUCUAUUUAAAAACCUCUCCUCUGAUCACAUAAAAAGGAAUUAAGUUCUAUGUAGAAAACUAUCCAUGUGAUGGGGGGCACUGGCUAGUUGCAACCAGUUUGCAGCCAAACAUACAAGAUGGUAUCUGAGUGUGAGAAACCCAGCGGCCUCUCAGGGAGACCGAGUCACAGGACUUGUCAAUCACCCGUCUUUUGCAAAAGAUUGUGCUUUGUUGGUUAGCUUAAUAUGUCGAAAAGGGGAGCUUCCACGUUCUCACCUGGUGAACCACAAUGAUUUCCUUUCUUUGAGAAGAGAGAGGCGGUUAUGAUUUUAUCUGAGCUACUUUUUCUCUUCAGGUGGAAGCUUAGCUUUGCUCCAGACAUGAUCACUUUCUUGUGAACUUGUUUCUAUGUCUUUUGCUUGGGGAGAAGGUAUUUGGUGGACUGAAGUGCAGCUUGUUUUUGAAGCUUCAUUGUGGAAAGCCAUAGUUAAAAUAUUGAUAUCCAUUGAGUAUCAGUCAAAGGAUAGAGCCGUUUGUACAAAUGCUAAUGCGUAGCAAGAUACAGCUUUAAAGGGCUUCUUCGUGUUUUGUUGUAACUAAAGGAAGUACCUGUCUAGUGGGAUGGCUUUGUUUACUCCAUAGAUUUCUGACCUGACCUAGGAGAUCCUUCUCACCUGUUCGGCCUCGAUUUGGCAUUAGUCCUUGUCUAGCCUUCUGUCCUGCAACCUCCGAGGUGUCUCUUUGACUGAAGCCAUUGUCUAUUUGUUUUAUCUUCCCUAUUCAGUUACAGUUCAUCAGGGGCAAGUGUCAAGCCGGUUAUAUUUUGGCAGUGUCCGUUGUCUGUCAGGGUUUCUGGUAUACACUAGUAGCUUAAUUCAUUAACAGCAAACAAAUGAAUUUCAAAUCUAUUCAUUGGCCACUUAUUCAUUCAUUUAGUCAGUCACUCGCUCAGUAUUUUUUGAGCACCACUCUAGGCCAGUCAUGUUUAACGUGCUGGGGACACAAACCUAAACAGACUGAAAUUGAAUCUUUGGCAAACUUAUAUCCUAUCGGGUGAGACCCAUUAUUGCACAAAGGUUUAAUUUCCUUGCUGAAGUGAUGAGUUCGGAUCCCUGGGGGUUCAUCUGAAAGAAGGUAGGAAGACACUUUGAGGGGCCUUUUCCUUUCUCUAAGGAUGUCAUCAGGAUCAGGAAACAGAUAAAACCUUUAAAGAAGACCUAUCAUUUCAAAAUUUUGACUGAGAACUUGAUGAGGCUAAAGGUACUGGCCAGAUCCUUCUUUCACUGGGGAAUUGGUCUGACAUGGAGGGGGUGAAACAAAAGCUGGCCUCUGUCAUAACAACUUAAAUCAUCCCCCUUCUUUCCCUCAUAGUCCCCACAUUAGAAUGUUGGCUCAGAGGCAACGAGGGGCUAGGAUAAAGGAAGAUCACAGGGCCUGGCGCUGGGGCUAGAGUUGGGAGCAAGGAGAGGCGGAGACCUGAGAGGAGAGGCAUCACCUACGGAAUUCUCCAGAAUUUUAGGACGGGUGCAAGACUUCCUACGGGGUGUGGGAUGGAGCCCCAAGCCUGGUCCGUGACCUUCUCUUCCAGUGGAGAGAGCAGCUCGUCGGCACAUCUUGAGAGGAACCCCAGUGUGUUUAUUUGGUUAGUCUUCGUGUUGGCCUCACUCCCAGCAAAUCCAAGCAUUUGAAAGUAUCUCUGGGAAUCAGAAGGUCUCAUUUAAAAGCCUUUCACUCAUAUUUGGAAACAGACUUUCCCUAAAUGAAAAAUAGACUGGCUAUAAAUCAGAGUUCACAUGAUGUAACAUUCUGAAUUAAUCUCUGUGGUUUAGUGAAACUUUUUAGGAUACUUUCAUUGCAACAGCCCUGUAGGUCUUAGCAACCAUUUUUCUCUCAGAGAUCCAGAGCUAGUCCCAGGAAAAAGCAAAAGAGCCUCCAAGCACAUGGUUUUGACAUGUUCCUCGCCCACAAAGAGGAAGCUGUUUUCCUCGGAGAAAUGUUGCUUCACUGAGAAGCUGAUUCAGCAGCAAUCUGUUUGCAUCGCCACUUUGUGCAAAUAGAAGAUGAGUGACCUUGACCAGAACUCUCAGUGGUGGGUGACAACGUGAAGACUGGGUGAUGAUGCUCUCUCUCCCAGCCUCUUAGCCUAACCCCUCCAUGCCAACCUGCACAAGAGCAACCAAACCCAGGGGAACCCAAGUUUUCACAAAAACACUAAAUUCACUUCAAUCAGAACCAACUCCCACGUUCCCCAAAGAUACACAGUUCGGCACAGGGUUGGUCCUGUCUUUGGAAAGGAAGAUUACAAUGGUCACCUUGCUUUGAGGGAGCCCCAUGUGGCGAAUUACCUCUCUUCUGUGUGUGCCAAGAGUGAGGAUUCAGAGAAAACGGGGAACCUAAGACUGCAACCAAAAAAUGCACUCUUGGCAGACAUAAUGGUGACCAGUUAGCAUCAGAGGAUUUCAUCAUCUUUUCAUCCAUUUGCUCUCCUAAAGCUGACCGGAAGAUUGGAGCAGCUUUUUUGUUAUACCCUUUAGCUCCUUACCCUGAUGCUAUAUUUUGCUCUCUUAAAGCUUUUAGUACUCCCAGAUAAAUCAGAGUUUUUACAUCUCUGCCACUUUUUGCCAUCAGAAUACUUGGCAUCCUUAUCUAGGCCUGGACAUCCUAACAGCUCAUCUGCUUGUGUUCACAUUCUGCUGAGCUUUCUACCAAGCAGAGAGCUUUUCUGCAUUGAUAAGGUCCCAAUCCCAUUCAGCUUCUGAUCCGGUUUUCCAAACGUUUCCACUGAUCUCCUUAAGGGUAAGAAAGGGAAUGUCUUAGAAAUUGAGAGAGAAAGCUCUUAGAACCAUCCUUCCAUGGAAACAUUAGCUCAAAGUCAAGAAGCAGGGGGAUUUUUACAAGGUCUCCAAAUGACAGCACGUUGGUUUAGAACUCUCUGGAUGCUUUAAGUUUCUGUUGCCAAAGGGAUCAGAGUAGAUCCUGCCAAGUGUACAGAAUGCCUUUCUACCGCUAACAUUUGAGAACUAAAUUGUAAGACAAGGGUCAGCUCUGUAAAUUUCUAUGCAUAAGAUUUGCUCUUCCUUCACCUGUGACUCCAACUACUUAUUUUUUAAGUAUGUGGUACAGUGAAUCUCACUCGGUAACCCCGGGCAUCUCCUUGCGUAUUGCGUGUACUGGUAAUCCAGUUCACACUUAACUGCUAGAAGCAAAGUCACAGAGGAGGCCAGCUGGCCACCCCAUUUGAUAACAUGGUCAAGUUGGUUUGGGUACUCAGGGACGUUGAACCAUUAAUCUCCAGGGAACUUCUCUUUUUAAAGUUUUCUUCUCUUUUCCUCGAUUAAAAAAACAAAGAAUUUAAAAUGUGCCAUGCCUUGUUCUCUCUGUACAGUGGUUUUUAAACUGUCCUCUGUGGUAAUUUCAUGUUCCCACUCUUCCAUAGUGUAUGUCAGAGGCAGUGUAGCUCAGGGGUAAGAACGUAGCCUAGGGGCUCAAACUCCCUUCUGGGAUGGACGAUGUAUGUCACCUUGUGUGAGGCACUGCAUUUCCACACGGCUCAGCUUCUCUGUGUAUGAGGUGAAAUUCACAGGACUCCUCUCAUCAGAUAGUUCUUGUGAGAUGGAACUGGAAGCUCCAGCUUCAGAAGUCAACACAGAGUAAGACAUGUGGUUGAGGUCUGUGGAUGUUGGCCAUUACCAUUACCAAGAUCUCAUAUCUACCAACGCUUAGUACUCUUUCAAGCAGGUUCAUGUCCAUGAUCUCGUGGAACAGUGAGAAUAUUGUUCAAAAAGUAGGGGAAGGUGAUUUUAGGCACACUUGAAAGAGGAGAUGAUGGAAGCAACAAAGACAGUGAGGAAUUUGUCCAAGGCCACCAGUGAAUUAGCACCAUUUGAACCCAGAACUGGAUCUCUAAGAUGCUGAGUCUCUUGUACUUACUUUGAUUAGUGCUUCUGGGAAAUUACUGUAUGUUCAGUUGAUCUGGGAAUACUGUUCAAAUGCAGAUUCUAAUUAUGCUGCAUUUCCAAAAAGCUCCCAAAAGAUUGUGAUGCUGCUGGCCCCACCCGACCCCACUUGCAGUAGGGAAGGUCUGUAACCGGAUGUAUCAUUCUCCGGCAUUUCUGAUGCCUUGAUGCUCAUUUUCAACUGAAUUUGAGGAAAAAAAAAAAAAGUGCACCAGAAGAAUCAUGAAACAUAUCAUGGGCAUAACCCCCAAAGUUUCCCUUCUCUCACCACUGUGAUGUUAUGUGAGAAUUUCUUGCCACAAUACCCAUCGACCUUCACGGAAUCAGUAUAAACAGGCAACCAUAAACUUUGCUGCAGCCCACAAUCAAUAAGAAAAGUUUGUAUUCUGUUAGCUGUUCAGAAGUCCUGCUGGGACUCACAAUAGCCAGCCCCUCGCCCCCCAAUCCUUUCCCUUCAUUUACCACCAAGGAGCUCAUUCUCAAUGGGGAGCUCCAUCGAAAAGAACAUUGCUCUUUCUUCUGAAAACCGAUUGCUCCCUCUCCGCAUACAUUUGUUUUUCAUCUACACAGAUAGUUCAGCUCUUUUUGCUUUGUUGUGUAACCUAGGUAACCUCAACCAGCUAAAAUCAGAACUGCUUCCCACUUUGCGCAUGAAAUUUCAAACCACACCUGAGCUUUACGCAGGUCACGCAACAGAAAGGCAGACAAGGUUUUGCAGGAAGGGUGCCUUCUUCAAUCAGAGGUGGCUAGGAUGUCAUGGGUGCAAGGGCAGGUGUGCAGGAAAGGUUCAAGUGCAGCUUAUGCAGAUCCACUCAUCAAUAAGGCAUUUUCCUCCAUACUGUUGGGUGUUUGUGGGUUUUUUUGUUUUUUCUUUUUGUUUUUGUUUCUGGACUUUUACUUUCAGAUUUAGCUGGUCUUUAUCUAUUAGAGGAGAGAUCGGCCACCUUUUCCUGUAAAGGGCCAGGUAGUAAAUAUUGUUGCCUUUGCAGACUAUGAGAGUCUCUGUUGAAAAGCCUCAACUCUGCCUUGUAGCUCAAAAGCAGCUGGGAACAAUACGGUAACCACUUAGGCGAGGCGGUGUUCCAAAGAGACUUUAUUCAGGGAACCCAAUGUUAGGAUUUCUAUUAAUUUUCAUGUUUCCAAAAAUAUUAUUGUCCUUUGGACUUUUCUUUUCACCAUUUAAAAUGUAAAAACAUUUUGAAGAUUUCAGGCUGAAUGAAAACAUACCUAGUCUGCUGACCUCUCUGUUAGUUCUAUGAGGCCAGCCAAAGGCAACAUUCUCAUAUAUUGUGAUGAUAAGACUUAGAUGUAAAAUGGACUUCCAAAUUUCCGGCUGUUUCGGACGGCAGCUUUAAAGGAAACCAAAGCUGUGUGCCAGGAAGGGUUCGGAGUGGUCUGCAAAUGUUUUUUUUUCCAUGUUUCAGCAUGUAAUACAUCCUCAUUUUCUAGGGCUGUUUAGUUUGUGAAUGUGAAACCAUCAACUUCCUGUGUCAAUUUCAAGUAGCUCAACUUCCCUGUUUGUUUGAAUUCCUUUAGUGGGCCCUCAUCUUGUAUUUAUUUCUUUUAGCUCUGAGGGCUGACCAUAGUCAUAGCAAGACUUUGGAAAUGUAAGCUGUAAUUUUCUGCAGAAGAAUAUAUUCUGAACCAUUCAUUUCGCUGAAACCUUCUCAACUAUGUACUUUUAUUCUAGGAAUAAUGAUGAUAAUCAGGGCUCAUGGGGCAGCUCUUUAGCCCUUUGGUUUGUUCACAUUAUAGCUACAAGAACAUAGUGGGGGGCUUUUCAUGGAGGAGUUCAUGUAGAAUUUGUCUUUGUAAUAUGCACCUUCAACAAUGCAGGUGUGCUUUUUGAGUGUACACAAUUAUUCUACUCUCCUUUCAGAUAUUCUAAGCUUACUUUUCUUGUGUGUGUGUGUGUGUGUGUGUGUGUGUGUGUGUUUUGUUGGCCACGAUAUGCAGUGGCAAUGUGGGAUCUCAGUUCCCAGAUCAGGGAUCAAACUUGGGCUGCAGAGGUAAAAGCACUGAAUCCUAACCACUAGACCACCAGGGAACUCCUGUAUAUUUCUUUUCACAUCAGGCACAAUUACCUUUCAGAUUCCAUUCCACUAUCAUCAUACACAUUAACCUCCACAGCCUUCGCUGCAGGAAUUUCUCCCGUGGUCUACAAACACCUCAUCUGUUUAGCCCUCCCCUUUGUAACGCUAACUUCAAGCCCAGUCCAUAGGCCCUGUAGCCUGGGGCUCUUCUUUUCUAGCUUCUGUAAACCAUCACCUAAUUGUUCAUCUGACAGAUUGGAGACAGGUAGAGUAAGUCUGUUAACCAGAAUGUAUCUUUGGGACCCCAUAUUAUUAAUCUAUUUCUACUCAAAGAGAUUAUUUGGGCAGAGGGUCGGUAAGAAACUUCAGAAUCACUUUUGGACUUGGUUUUGUAUUCCAUUAAAAUCGCAUCAACUCUGGAGUUCCCUGGUGGCUUAGUGAUUAAGGAUCCGGCAUUGUCACUGCUGUGGCGCUGGUUCGAUCCCUGGCCUAGGAACUUUGACAGGCCACAGGUGCAGCCAAAAAAAAAAAGUCACAUUGACUCAGAACCACUGCCAAUGCCUUGCACUCUUUCCAGGAGGCAAGGUGCUGGGAUGGAGGGAUGAGAACAGUGGUUAGGUCCUCUUCAGGUAAUUUGCUUAUGUCCUGUUGCGCCGUGGGUGGGGGCACUGGGACAUAAAGGCUCUGUCAGAAGAGGGAGAGGAAGGAUGAACAUUCCCCAUAAGCUUUCAGAUCUCUGACAUUGGUGCUUCCCCUGCUUGGGGACAGUGCUCCCAAGAAUUCAAGCCCUGUCCCAACACCCUGCAGGAUCACGGAUGUCCCUGGGUGUUAGAACUCUAAAAGCAGAGCGUCCUAGAAGAAAGAAGAAAAAGGGCAAGAAGGCUAAGGGAGCAAAUCAGCAGUGUCAAAAAGGCCAAGCUCUUCAGUGUCUGUUUAAUUGCCAGUUCACAGAAUGAAAAAGAAACAGAAGAGGUACAUGUAGCUGCCAUGUCCUUGUGGCUCUCAGUGACGUAGGCUCUGAAGAAAGUUGAUUGAAAGAGAAGCACCAUCUCAUGGUGCACAGUGGGUUAAGGAUCCGGUGUUGCUGUGGCUCAGGUUUGAUCCCUGGCCUAGGAACUUCUGCAUACCACCAGUGCGGCCAAAAAAAAAAAAAAAAAAAA
RNAcentral lists this long non-coding RNA (7645 nucleotides) under Sus scrofa (pig). RNAcentral describes it as "lncRNA (ENSSSCG00030062143.1)". The record is from RNAcentral. Lineage: Eukaryota; Metazoa; Chordata; Mammalia; Artiodactyla; Suidae.